GGAGCAUCGACGCAACCUCGUAUUGUCAGACAAACAGCUUGGUUACCUCCGCCUGAUGGAUAUGUGAAGAUGAAUGUGGAUGCGGCAGUGAACAGGGAAGGAGAGUAUGGUGCAGCAGGGGUGGUGUGCAGAGACCACGAAGGUAGAUUCUUGGGGGCCUCGGCUCUGAAAGUAAAAUUCAUAACGGAAGCAAGCACAAUGGAAGCGAUCGCUGUACAGGAGGCUCAAGCAUUGGCUGAGGAUCUUUAUGUUAAUAUGGUCCACAUUGCAUCGGAUUGUAAAAGGGUGGUUGAUGAUGUCCAGAAGAACGUGGGUGCUGGAUAUGGAGCUAUAGUGCAUGAGAUUAUACAUCGG
RNAcentral lists this ribosomal RNA (354 nucleotides) under Triticum aestivum (bread wheat). RNAcentral describes it as "partial small subunit ribosomal RNA". The record is from RNAcentral. Lineage: Eukaryota; Viridiplantae; Streptophyta; Magnoliopsida; Poales; Poaceae.